UUUUAAAGAGUGUCAAAAGUUUGGGCUUUACCCCAGCUUAAAACAUCUAUCUAUCUAUACUAAUAAAGUUGACUAGAAAGACUCCACAAUGCGCCACCUCAUCGAAUGUUAUUCCGGCGUUGUUUCAUCAUUCUUUGUUUCUGAAAAAUGGGUUGUCUACUUAUGAAAGUCUCAUGUUGCAUUUGAUUUAUUUGUUUGGGCCUAUCAUUAUUUCAGAAUCUCGGCCCAAAAGUCUUUCUUCUUCGAUCAAGUAUGAUCGGAACAAAUUAGCCAACAAAAACUGUUGGUUUACAUAACGCCCUCCCCCUGAAUUCAGUCAACCACAAUAAUGAUCUCAUUAAUGUCGUUCUCAUCACUACCUCCACUCUCUCGCAUUCAUUAGUUCACUCACACCACCAUGGAAACAUCUGAAAACUACAACUAUAACUAUAAAUACCAUAGUUGGAUUCACUAAAAAUCAAUAAUCCCAUCAAAUCAUUUCGCAUUCUCUCU
RNAcentral lists this long non-coding RNA (492 nucleotides) under Brassica napus (rape). RNAcentral's name for it is "long non-coding RNA (BNAP_LNC008677)". The record is from RNAcentral. Lineage: Eukaryota; Viridiplantae; Streptophyta; Magnoliopsida; Brassicales; Brassicaceae.